AUGGAACUGAGAGGAGACUGCACUGGGGGCCCUGCUCUCCCCUCCCUUCUGGGGGGCCCUGCCGCUGGGGGCCCUGCUCUCCCCUCCCUUCUGGGGGGCCCUGCCGCGGGGGGCCUGCUCUCCCCUCCCUUCUGGGGGGCCCUGCCGCUGGGGGCCCUGCCUCUCCCCCUCCUUCUGGGGGGCCCUGCCGCUGGGGGCCCUGCCUCUCCCCCUCCUUCUGGGGGGCCCUGCCGCUGGGGGCCUUGCUCUCCCCUCCCUUCUGGGGGGCCCUGCCGCUGGGGGCCCUGCUCUCCCCUCCCUUCUGGGGGGCCCUGCCGCUGGGGGCCCUGCUCUCCCCUCCCUUCUGGGGGGGCCCUGCGCUGGGGGCCCUGCCGCUGGGGGCCCUGCUCUCCCCUCCCUUCUGGGGGGCCCUGCCGCUGGGGGGCCUGCUCUCCCCUCCCUUCUGGGGGGCCCUGCCCCUGGGGGCCUGCUCUCCCCUCCCUUCUGGGGGGCCCUGCCGCUGGGGGCCUGCUCUCCCCUCCCUUCUGGGGGGCCUGCUCUCCCCUCCCUUCUGGGGGACCCUGCCGCUGGGGGCCUGCUCUCCCCUCCUUUCUGGGGGACCCUGCGCUGGGGGCCUGCCUCUCCCCCUCCCUCUGGGGGGGCCCUGCCGCUGGGGGCCCUGGCCGCUGGGGGCCUUGCUCUCCCCUCCCUUCUGGGGGGCCCUGCCCCUGGGGGCCUGCCUCUCCCCCUCCCUUCUGGGGGGCCCUGCCGCUGGGGGCCUGCCUCUCCCCCUCCCUUUUGGGGGGCCCUGCUCUCCCCUCCCUUCUGGGGGACCCUGCCGCUGGGGGGCCUGCUCUCCCCUCCUUUCUGGGGGACCCUGCCGCUGGGGGCCCUGCUCUCCCCUCCCUUCUGGGGGGCCCUGCCGCUGGGGGCCCUGCUCUCCCCUCCCUUCUGGGGGGCCCUGCCGCUGGGGGCCUGCUCUCCCCUCCCUUUGGGGGGGCCCUGCCGCUGGGGGCCUGCUCUCCCCUCCCUUCUGGGGGGCCCUGCCGCUGGGGGCCUGCUCUCCCCUCCUUCUGGGGGGCCCUGCUCUCCCCUCCCUUCUGGGGGGCCUGCCGCUGGGGGCCCUGCCGCUGGGGGCCUGCUCUCCCCUCCUUUCUGGGGGACCCUGCCGCUGGGGGCCUGCCGCUGGGGGCCCUGCUCUCCCCUCCCUUCUGGGGGGCCCUGCCGCUGGGGGCCUGCUCUCCCCUCCCUUCUGGGGGGCCCUGCCCCUGGGGGCCUGCUCUCCCCUCCCUUCUGGGGGGCCCUGCCGCUGGGGGCCUGCUCUCCCCUCCCUUCUGGGGGGCCCUGCUCUCCCCUCCCUUCUGGGGGACCCGUAAAUUUAGCUCGUGA
Molecule: long non-coding RNA, 1368 nt
Filed under: Felis catus (domestic cat)
Lineage: Eukaryota; Metazoa; Chordata; Mammalia; Carnivora; Felidae
Description: lncRNA (ENSFCAG00000049835.1)
Source: RNAcentral